Molecule: ribosomal RNA, 206 nt
Filed under: uncultured bacterium
Lineage: Bacteria
Description: partial 16S ribosomal RNA
Rfam family: Bacterial small subunit ribosomal RNA
Source: RNAcentral
CUCAGUUCGGAUUGGAGGCUGAAACCCGCCUCCAUGAAGUUGGAUUCGCUAGUAAUCGCGCCUCAGCCAUGGCGCGGUGAAUACGUUCCCGGGCCCUUGUACACACCGCCCGUCAAGCCAUGGGAGCCGGGGGUACCUGAAGUUCGUGACCGCAAGGAGCACCUAGGGCAAAACUGGUGACUGGGGCUAAGUCGUAACAAGGUACC